CGAAUGGGGAAACCCAGUGUGAUUCGUCACACUAUCAUUAACUGAAUCCAUAGGUUAAUGAGGCGAACCGGGGGAACUGAAACAUCUAAGUACCCCGAGGAAAAGAAAUCAACCGAGAUUCCCCCAGUAGCGGCGAGCGAACGGGGAGGAGCCCAGAGCCUGAAUCAGCAUGUGUGUUAGUGGAAGCGUCUGGAAAGGCGCGCGAUACAGGGUGACAGCCCCGUACACAAAAGCGCAUGUGCUGUGAGCUCGAUGAGUAGGGCGGGACACGUGGUAUCCUGUCUGAAUAUGGGGGGACCAUCCUCCAAGGCUAAAUACUCCUGACUGACCGAUAGUGAACCAGUACCGUGAGGGAAAGGCGAAAAGAACCCCGGCGAGGGGAGUGAAAAAGAACCUGAAACCGUGUACGUACAAGCAGUGGGAGCACCCUUCGGGGUGUGACUGCGUACCUUUUGUAUAAUGGGUCAGCGACUUAUAUUCUGUAGCAAGGUUAACCGUAUAGGGGAGCCGGAGGGAAACCGAGUCUUAAUUGGGCGUUAAGUUGCAGGGUAUAGACCCGAAACCCGGUGAUCUAGCCAUGGGCAGGUUGAAGGUUGGGUAACACUAACUGGAGGACCGAACCGACUAAUGUUGAAAAAUUAGCGGAUGACCUGUGGCUGGGGGUGAAAGGCCAAUCAAACCGGGAGAUAGCUGGUUCUCCCCGAAAGCUAUUUAGGUAGCGCCUCGUGAAUUCAUCUCCGGGGGUAGAGCACUGUUUCGGCUAGGGGGCCAUCCCGGCUUACCAACCCGAUGCAAACUGCGAAUACCGGAGAAUGUUAUCACGGGAGACACACGGCGGGUGCUAACGUCCGUCGUGAAGAGGGAAACAACCCAGACCGCCAGCUAAGGUCCCAAAGUCAUGGUUAAGUGGGAAACGAUGUGGGAAGGCCCAGACAGCCAGGAUGUUGGCUUAGAAGCAGCCAUCAUUUAAAGAAAGCGUAAUAGCUCACUGGUCGAGUCGGCCUGCGCGGAAGAUGUAACGGGGCUAAACCAUGCACCGAAGCUGCGGCAGCGAACGUAUCACCCAAGACAACUUUACGGAGUUGACGAUUGACGGAGCGAAGCGACGUCAAAGCGUUCAUUAAAGUCGAGUUGGCUUAGGGAUACGUUCGUUGGGUAGGGGAGCGUUCUGUAAGCCUGUGAAGGUGUGUCGUGAGGCAUGCUGGAGGUAUCAGAAGUGCGAAUGCUGACAUAAGUAACGAUAAAGCGGGUGAAAAGCCCGCUCGCCGGAAGACCAAGGGUUCCUGUCCAACGUUAAUCGGGGCAGGGUGAGUCGACCCCUAAGGCGAGGCCGAAAGGCGUAGUCGAUGGGAAACGGGUUAAUAUUCCCGUACUUGGUGUUACUGCGAAGGGGGGACGGAGAAGGCUAUGUUGGCCGGGCGACGGUUGUCCCGGUUUAAGCGUGUAGGUGUGUGUUCCAGGUAAAUCCGGUUCACUUUAACACUGAGGCGUGACGACGAGGCACUACGGUGCUGAAGCAACAAAUGCCCUGCUUCCAGGAAAAGCCUCUAAGCAUCAGGUAACACGAAAUCGUACCCCAAACCGACACAGGUGGUCAGGUAGAGAAUACCAAGGCGCUUGAGAGAACUCGGGUGAAGGAACUAGGCAAAAUGGUGCCGUAACUUCGGGAGAAGGCACGCUGACACGUAGGUGAAGUGAUUUACUCAUGGAGCUGAAGUCAGUCGAAGAUACCAGCUGGCUGCAACUGUUUAUUAAAAACACAGCACUGUGCAAACACGAAAGUGGACGUAUACGGUGUGACGCCUGCCCGGUGCCGGAAGGUUAAUUGAUGGGGUCAGCGCAAGCGAAGCUCCUGAUCGAAGCCCCGGUAAACGGCGGCCGUAACUAUAACGGUCCUAAGGUAGCGAAAUUCCUUGUCGGGUAAGUUCCGACCUGCACGAAUGGCGUAAUGAUGGCCAGGCUGUCUCCACCCGAGACUCAGUGAAAUUGAACUCGCUGUGAAGAUGCAGUGUACCCGCGGCAAGACGGAAAGACCCCGUGAACCUUUACUAUAGCUUGACACUGAACAUUGAGCCUUGAUGUGUAGGAUAGGUGGGAGGCUUUGAAGUGUGGACGCCAGUCUGCAUGGAGCCGACCUUGAAAUACCACCCUUUAAUGUUUGAUGUUCUAACGUGGACCCGUAAUCCGGGUUGCGGACAGUGUCUGGUGGGUAGUUUGACUGGGGCGGUCUCCUCCUAAAGAGUAACGGAGGAGCACGAAGGUUGGCUAAUCCUGGUCGGACAUCAGGAGGUUAGUGCAAUGGCAUAAGCCAGCUUGACUGCGAGCGUGACGGCGCGAGCAGGUGCGAAAGCAGGUCAUAGUGAUCCGGUGGUUCUGAAUGGAAGGGCCAUCGCUCAACGGAUAAAAGGUACUCCGGGGAUAACAGGCUGAUACCGCCCAAGAGUUCAUAUCGACGGCGGUGUUUGGCACCUCGAUGUCGGCUCAUCACAUCCUGGGGCUGAAGUAGGUCCCAAGGGUAUGGCUGUUCGCCAUUUAAAGUGGUACGCGAGCUGGGUUUAGAACGUCGUGAGACAGUUCGGUCCCUAUCUGCCGUGGGCGCUGGAGAACUGAGGGGGGCUGCUCCUAGUACGAGAGGACCGGAGUGGACGCAUCACUGGUGUUCGGGUUGUCAUGCCAAUGGCACUGCCCGGUAGCUAAAUGCGGAAGAGAUAAGUGCUGAAAGCAUCUAAGCACGAAACUUGCCCCGAGAUGAGUUCUCCCUGAGACUUAGAGUCUCCUGAAGGAACGUUGAAGACGACGACGUUGAUAGGCCGGGUGUGUAAGCGCAGCGAUGCGUUGAGCUAACCGGUACUAAUGAACCGUGAGGCUUAACCUU
Molecule: ribosomal RNA, 2875 nt
Filed under: Salmonella enterica subsp. enterica serovar Typhimurium str. DT104
Lineage: Bacteria; Pseudomonadati; Pseudomonadota; Gammaproteobacteria; Enterobacterales; Enterobacteriaceae
Description: bacterial LSU rRNA
Rfam family: Bacterial large subunit ribosomal RNA
Source: RNAcentral